AUUGAACGCUGGCGGCAGGCCUAACACAUGCAAGUCGAGCGGAUGAAGGGAGCUUGCUCCUGGAUUCAGCGGCGGACGGGUGAGUAAUGCCUAGGAAUCUGCCUGGUAGUGGGGGAUAACGUCCGCAAACGGGCGCUAAUACCGCAUACGUCCUGAGGGAGAAAGUGGGGGAUCUUCGGACCUCACGCUAUCAGAUGAGCCUAGGUCGGAUUAGCUAGUUGGUGGGGUAAAGGCCUACCAAGGCGACGAUCCGUAACUGGUCUGAGAGGAUGAUCAGUCACACUGGAACUGAGACACGGUCCAGACUCCUACGGGAGGCAGCAGUGGGGAAUAUUGGACAGUAGGCGAAAGCCUGAUCCAGCCAUGCCGCGUGUGUGAAGAAGGUCUUCGGAUUGUAAAGCACUUUAAGUUGGGAGGAAGGGCAGUAAGUUAAUACCUUGCUGUUUUGACGGUACCAACAGAAUAAGCACCGGCUAACUUCGUG
RNAcentral lists this ribosomal RNA (484 nucleotides) under uncultured bacterium. Its description in RNAcentral is "partial 16S ribosomal RNA". It matches the Rfam family "Bacterial small subunit ribosomal RNA", at positions 30 to 507 of the family's 1533-position model. The record is from RNAcentral.